AAGCGAUGAUUGAUAGUUGCGCCGCUGCGACGGUUGGGUCUGUCGCUCACUUCAGAUCACUGAUGAAGUAGUUAAUGGCGUUGCUGAGCUU
Andrographis paniculata is the source of this 91-nucleotide small nucleolar RNA. RefSeq annotates it as small nucleolar RNA snoR114. The transcript has a single exon. NCBI's taxonomy places the organism in Eukaryota, Viridiplantae, Streptophyta, Magnoliopsida, Lamiales, Acanthaceae. The record is from RefSeq and is a predicted model, not a curated record.